AGCUUUGCGUAGUGGCAGAAUCAUAGCCAAUGAAGUUAAUCUGAGGUAUGAUUAUUGCUAGUUGAAAACUUUUAUAGCACUUCAUAUGUUCAGAGCAGAGCUUGCAUUGAUCUUAAUUGCAGUUCAGCACUUUGUCUCAGACGCCACGUGU
This 151-nucleotide small nuclear RNA is filed under the name Gopherus agassizii (Agassiz's desert tortoise). Its description in RNAcentral is "U4 spliceosomal RNA (ENSGAGG00000021008.1)". The stretch from base 1 to 135 matches the Rfam family "U4 spliceosomal RNA". From Rfam's summary of the family: U4 small nuclear RNA (U4 snRNA) is a component of the major U2-dependent spliceosome. The structure of U4 snRNA from yeast and human has been reported. The record is from RNAcentral. Lineage: Eukaryota; Metazoa; Chordata; Testudines; Testudinidae.